Molecule: long non-coding RNA, 274 nt
Organism: Polyodon spathula (Mississippi paddlefish)
Lineage: Eukaryota; Metazoa; Chordata; Actinopteri; Acipenseriformes; Polyodontidae
Exons: 3
Source: RefSeq, a predicted model, not a curated record
GCCUGUGUGUAUCUCUGUGUGUGGCAGCAUCCUGGUGAACCCGCAGAGCAAUCUCACAAUCCCUGACAAGACUCUGGGCUUCUUCAUCGCCAGCAACGCCUUUGAUGUCAAAAGGGUUAGCCUGUUCUGCUUCGCUUGCCACAGUGACAUCACGGAACCCUGGAAGAUAACGGAAUGCAGCUGCCAUACCUCGCAAGAAUCAGAUAAAGUUGAGGUACCCCUGGACAGAGUGCGUUCCUUCGGAGUGAUUUCCCGCCCAGAGCGUGAAGAGAGG